GCACAACUCGAUAAAAGGGGUACGAAUGUUUCCUCUUUCUGUCUCCAUCCCUCCCCUCUUCUCACUCUCUCUCUCUCUCUCUCUCUCUCUCUUUCUCUCUCUCUCUCUCGAUUCUAACGAAACGUGACGAUGGCGGAUAGUCCAACGGGAAAUCUUGGAAGUGGGGAUAAAAUCUUUCGUAGUACCCUCCCAGAUGGAAAGAGGAGGACCACCACCACCCUCUCCCCUCUUCUAUCACUCUAUAGCAUAUAGAAUCUCUAUAUAGCAUAAGUUAGACAAGGAUAGAAAGAAUCGGAACUAUUACAUUUGGAUUUCUCUAUCGUUGAAAUUUGACGUUUUAUAAAGGGCCAGAUACGUUACGAUUCGAUUGUGUAUAGUAACACCUUAUGGAACACGGAGCUAGCUAGCACACAUUCUCUCUCCCAUAAAUCAAGAUCGGGUUUGAUGGCUGGGAGACACGGGAAGCCGUAGAAGCAAAAAACGCCGACAGAUUCUUCGUUAGAUCAGUCAGAGCCAUCAAAACCGAUCGACCGACGUUAUCAAUGACAGACGAAGUGCCUGGCCAUGUUCCCUGGCAAAUCAAACAACGAAUCGACCGAUAUGGGAUAUCAUCAAAGGAUUUCGGCCGGCUCUUUGUCAACCUAUACAGUGAUAAUACUGAAAUCUCGUGCGUACAAACA
Molecule: long non-coding RNA, 680 nt
Organism: Vespa mandarinia (Asian giant hornet)
Lineage: Eukaryota; Metazoa; Arthropoda; Insecta; Hymenoptera; Vespidae
Source: RefSeq, a predicted model, not a curated record